AUUGAACGCUGGCGGCAUGCUUUANACAUGCAAGUCGAACGGCAGCACGGGUGCUUGCACCUGGUGGCGAGUGGCGGACGGGUGAGUAAUACAUCGGAACGUAUCCUAAAGUGGGGGAUAACGCAUCGAAAGAUGUGCUAAUACCGCAUACACUCUGAGGAGGAAAGUAGGGGAUCGAAAGACCUUAUGCUUUUGGAGCGGCCGAUGUCUGAUUAGCUAGUUGGUAAGGUAAUGGCUUACCAAGGCAACGAUCAGUAGUUGGUCUGAGAGGACGACCAGUCACACUGGGACUGAGACACGGCCCAGACUCCUACGGGAGGCAGCAGUGGGGAAUUUUGGACAAUGGGCGCAAGCCUGAUCCAGCAAUGCCGCGUGAGUGAAGAAGGCCUUCGGGUUGUAAAGCUCUUUCAGUUGAGAAGAAAAGAUUGUGACUAAUAAUUGCAAUUCAUGACGGUAUCAACAGAAGAAGCACCGGCUAACUACGUG
This 486-nucleotide ribosomal RNA is filed under the name uncultured bacterium. RNAcentral describes it as "bacterial SSU rRNA". It matches the Rfam family "Bacterial small subunit ribosomal RNA", at positions 30 to 507 of the family's 1533-position model. The record is from RNAcentral.